Long non-coding RNA from Eptesicus fuscus (big brown bat), 982 nucleotides. RefSeq lists it as uncharacterized. The record is from RefSeq and is a predicted model, not a curated record. Lineage: Eukaryota; Metazoa; Chordata; Mammalia; Chiroptera; Vespertilionidae. The transcript is spliced from 3 exons.
CUCAAAUAGAAAGAGUUUCCACCUUUGAAUUGCAACUGGUUCCCCUGGUAUCUCGUGAAAGGACCUAACUGCAGGCUUUUGCAGAAUCCGCCCAUCAUGGCUCCCAUCUUGGCCCCUAUCAGAGACACCUGGGAACAGGAGCAGAAAAGAGACUGCUGCAAAGGAAUUGAACUGCAUGAGGAGGCAAGGAAGAUUCUGGAUUGCAUGGAGGGAAUAUUCUCAGCCCUGUGAGAUUGAACAUAGGUCAAGAUACUGAAAUUCAGAGAAGAUACCUAUUCAAGCCCACACAGCUUGGAAGGGGGGCAGAGACAGAUGCAAAUAAACCAGCUCUUCUGACCAUGGUUCUGAUGCCUUCCUGGCCGUCCGCACAGCCUCAGUCCAGAGCUCAGACAUCUUGUUCCCUCUCUCCCUGCCACCCUCUGGCAUUGCAAUGAGGGACGCACGACAUUGGAGAAAAAAGAGGGACAGUGCUGUCCCAUACAGAACCCAGUGUGAGUAGAAGCAGCCCUGGAGCCAAGAGCAAGGUGAACCCGUGGCAACACAGAUGUGGGGGCCACAGAGAAGAGGGAAGGGGUGUGGAAAUGGAGGCGCCAUCGAAGCAGAGAAAAUAGGGACGAUAUUAAGGUCAGGAUGUUGGGAGCUUCUAGUUUUUAAUCCGUUUUCACUGCCAAAGAUGCACCCCCAAAGGCCCAAAGCGACAGGAGUCACUGCAUGUGCCACAGGCUCUGAGUCUUCCAGAGGCUAACGCACCCUCGUCUGCCCUCUGACAGCUGUCAUUCACGGUGGGCACGGACUUCUGCCUGCCGCACCCACCUGGCUGUCUCUUCACCUUGCUGUCCUGGGGGUCUGAGGCCGCGCACCCAAGCACUUUUUUCUGACCCUCCACGUAUUGCUGCUGCCUCCCCUUUUGGGGGCAGCCCCAACUACGUUGUAAAGAAAGAUUAUGCUAAAGCAAAAUGACCAGAAUCUCAAGUCUGACUUC